This 406-nucleotide ribosomal RNA is filed under the name uncultured bacterium. RNAcentral's name for it is "partial 16S ribosomal RNA". It matches the Rfam family "Bacterial small subunit ribosomal RNA", at positions 30 to 526 of the family's 1533-position model. The record is from RNAcentral.
AUUGAACGCUGGCGGCAGGCCUAACACAUGCAAGUCGAACGAGUGGCGGACGGGUGAGUAAUGUCUGGGAAACUGCCUGAUGGAUGGGGAUAACUACUGGAACCGGUAGCUAAUACCGCAUACCAUCAUAUGUGCCCAGAUGGGAUUAGCUAGUUGGUGGGGUAACGGCUCACCAAGGCGACGAUGCCUAGCUGGUCUGAGAGGAUGACCAGCCACACUGGGACUGAGACACGGACCAGACUCCUACGGGAGGCAGCAGUGGGGAAUAUUGCACAAUGGGCGCAAGCCUGAUGCAGCCAUGCCGCGUGUAUGAAGAAGGUCUUCGGGUUGUAAAGGACUGUCAGCGGGGAGGCGUUAACCGAAGAAGAAGCACCGGCUAACUCCGUGCCAGCAGCCGCGGUAAUAC